RNAcentral lists this ribosomal RNA (465 nucleotides) under uncultured bacterium. RNAcentral's name for it is "bacterial SSU rRNA". It matches the Rfam family "Bacterial small subunit ribosomal RNA", at positions 926 to 1391 of the family's 1533-position model. The record is from RNAcentral.
CAAGCGGUGGAGCAUGUGGUUUAAUUCGAAGCAACGCGAAGAACCUUACCAAGUCUUGACAUCCUUCUGACCGUCCCUUAACCGGGAUUUCCCUUCGGGGCAGGAGUGACAGGUGGUGCAUGGUUGUCGUCAGCUCGUGUCGUGAGAUGUUGGGUUAAGUCCCGCAACGAGCGCAACCCUUAUCUUCAGUAGCCAGCGGUUAGGCCGGGCACUCUGGAGAGACUGCCGGGGGUAACCCGGAGGAAGGUGGGGAUGACGUCAAAUCAUCAUGCCCCUUAUGACUUGGGCUACACACGUGCUACAAUGGUGAUAACAAAGGGAAGCAGCCCUGUGAAGGUGAGCAAAUCCCAAAAAUGUCAUCUCAGUUCGGAUUGUAGUCUGCAACUCGACUACAUGAAGCUGGAAUCGCUAGUAAUCGCGAAUCAGAAUGUCGCGGUGAAUACGUUCCCGGGUCUUGUACACACC